Molecule: ribosomal RNA, 1003 nt
Filed under: Curtobacterium sp.
Lineage: Bacteria; Bacillati; Actinomycetota; Actinomycetes; Micrococcales; Microbacteriaceae
Description: bacterial SSU rRNA
Rfam family: Bacterial small subunit ribosomal RNA
Source: RNAcentral
UGCAGUCGACGAUGAUCAGGAGCUUGCUUCUGUGAUUAGUGGCGAACGGGUGAGUAACACGUGAGUAACCUGCCCCUGACUCUGGGAUAAGCGUUGGAAACGACGUCUAAUACUGGAUACGACUUCCGGCCGCAUGGUCUGGUUGUGGAAAGAUUUUUUGGUUGGGGAUGGACUCGCGGCCUAUCAGCUUGUUGGUGAGGUAAUGGCUCACCAAGGCGACGACGGGUAGCCGGCCUGAGAGGGUGACCGGCCACACUGGGACUGAGACACGGCCCAGACUCCUACGGGAGGCAGCAGUGGGGAAUAUUGCACAAUGGGCGAAAGCCUGAUGCAGCAACGCCGCGUGAGGGAUGACGGCCUUCGGGUUGUAAACCUCUUUUAGUAGGGAAGAAGCGAAAGUGACGGUACCUGCAGAAAAAGCACCGGCUAACUACGUGCCAGCAGCCGCGGUAAUACGUAGGGUGCAAGCGUUGUCCGGAAUUAUUGGGCGUAAAGAGCUCGUAGGCGGUUUGUCGCGUCUGCUGUGAAAUCCCGAGGCUCAACCUCGGGCUUGCAGUGGGUACGGGCAGACUAGAGUGCGGUAGGGGAGAUUGGAAUUCCUGGUGUAGCGGUGGAAUGCGCAGAUAUCAGGAGGAACACCGAUGGCGAAGGCAGAUCUCUGGGCCGUAACUGACGCUGAGGAGCGAAAGCAUGGGGAGCGAACAGGAUUAGAUACCCUGGUAGUCCAUGCCGUAAACGUUGGGCGCUAGAUGUAGGGACCUUUCCACGGUUUCUGUGUCGUAGCUAACGCAUUAAGCGCCCCGCCUGGGGAGUACGGCCGCAAGGCUAAAACUCAAAGGAAUUGACGGGGGCCCGCACAAGCGGCGGAGCAUGCGGAUUAAUUCGAUGCAACGCGAAGAACCUUACCAAGGCUUGACAUACACCGGAAACGGCCAGAGAUGGUCGCCCCCUUGUGGUCGGUGUACAGGUGGUGCAUGGUUGUCGUCAGCUCGUGUCGUGAGAU